CGGGGUGUAGCGCAGCUUGGUAGCGCAUCCGCUUUGGGAGCGGAAGGCCGCAGGUUCAAAUCCUGUCACCCCGA
This is a non-coding RNA of Mycobacterium sp. SP-6446, 74 nucleotides long. The record is from Rfam. NCBI's taxonomy places the organism in Bacteria, Bacillati, Actinomycetota, Actinomycetes, Mycobacteriales, Mycobacteriaceae.